This 250-nucleotide ribosomal RNA is filed under the name uncultured bacterium. RNAcentral's name for it is "partial 16S ribosomal RNA". It matches the Rfam family "Bacterial small subunit ribosomal RNA", at positions 109 to 354 of the family's 1533-position model. The record is from RNAcentral.
AGUAACGCGUGGGUAACCUACCUUUCAGCGGGGGAUAACUAUUGGAAGCGAUAGCUAAUACCGCAUAAUAAUGUUGGAUGCAUAUUCGACAUUUGAAAGUACCAAUCGGUACACUGAGAGAUGGACCCGCGUUGUAUUAGCUAGUUGGUAGUGUAAUGGACUACCAAGGCGAUGAUACAUAGCCGACCUGAGAGGGUGAUCGGCCACAUUGGGACUGAGACACGGCCCAAACUCCUACGGAAGGCAGCAG